AUGGAUGUAUUAGUGAGGUCUUUUAAUGAAUCAUUAUUCCUAAGAUGUCAACAAUUGAUGUCUCAUGAAGACACGGCAAUCAAUGAAAUCACCCGAAAAGGGAGCUCAAGAAGAAGAAAUGUCACAAGUGGUGCAUCAGACACACUAGCUAGAGAGUUGUUGUAUGGUCCAGUUGGUUGUCAUGGUCCAACUAUGCAAGGAUCACGCUAUCUUGCGUUGGUGUGUGGUCCAGUGCUUAAUUUUUUUUCUGCCUCCGCAUUGAGAUAUAAACUCAAACAAAAAACGAGUGUAGAGUGGGAGAUAACAUAUAGAAGUCUUUCCACCAAGAUAUACGUAGUCUCCAUUUCACCACCACACCAAGGGACGGAAAACUGA
Molecule: ribosomal RNA, 375 nt
Filed under: Triticum aestivum (bread wheat)
Lineage: Eukaryota; Viridiplantae; Streptophyta; Magnoliopsida; Poales; Poaceae
Description: partial small subunit ribosomal RNA
Source: RNAcentral